Long non-coding RNA from Lagenorhynchus albirostris (white-beaked dolphin), 522 nucleotides. RefSeq lists it as uncharacterized. The transcript has 3 exons. The record is from RefSeq and is a predicted model, not a curated record. NCBI's taxonomy places the organism in Eukaryota, Metazoa, Chordata, Mammalia, Artiodactyla, Delphinidae.
CGCAAGCUGUUAUUCUGCGCUGGAAACUUGAGCAGAGGAGAAGGGAGAAGGAAAGAGUCUGGUGCACUGAAACCUGCCCUGCUGGCUCAUAAGAGUUGAUUGUGCAUGGCUCGGUCCUAACGCUGUGUUCAGCGACAUCGAACUGCCCACUUGCAGUUGGGCGGGACCAUGUGACCAGUUCUGCUGAGUGAGCUGUGAGUUGAAGUGACACGUAGCAGAAGAUUUAGGAGCUGAUGUGCCAUCUUCCAGCCUUCUCUUCUACAGCUGCAAUCGUGGAGGCCAUAUGUUGAGACAGCAGAACCACAGGAUGAAGUAACCUGAUUGCUGAGUCAGCACAUGGAGAACAGCUGUCUUUAGAGAGCUGCCUGAUUGUCUGUGGAUGUCAGGGAAAUAAACAUUUGCUCUGUUUAGCCACUGAGAUUCAAGACAAUUUUGUUACCACAAAAUAAUUUAGUCUAGCAGUCCUCAAACCUUUGAGUCUCAGGACUUCUUUAAACUCUUAAAAAAUUACUGGUAAUCCUA